Molecule: ribosomal RNA, 542 nt
Filed under: uncultured Scutellospora
Lineage: Eukaryota; Fungi; Glomeromycota; Glomeromycetes; Diversisporales; Gigasporaceae
Also listed under: 1 other name
Description: SSU rRNA
Rfam family: Eukaryotic small subunit ribosomal RNA
Source: RNAcentral
UUGGAGGGCAAGUCUGGUGCCAGCAGCCGCGGUAAUUCCAGCUCCAAUAGCGUAUAUUAAAGUUGUUGCAGUUAAAAAGCUCGUAGUUGAAUUUCGGGGUUCUACCGUUGGUCGGGCUUUGUCUGUACUGGCGUGUAGAAUUUCUACCUUCUGGGGAACCAUCAUGUUAUUAAUUUAACGUGGUGGGAAACCAGGACCUUUACCUUGAAAAAAUUAGAGUGUUCAAAGCAGGCUUAUGUCUGAAUACAUUAGCAUGGAAUAAUAAAAUAGGACGGUGGUCCUGUUUUGUUGGUUUCUGAAUCACCGUAAUGAUUAAUAGGGAUAGUUGGGGGCAUUAGUAUUCAAUUGUCAGAGGUGAAAUUCUUGGAUUUAUUGAAGACUAACUUCUGCGAAAGCAUUUGCCAAGGAUGUUUUCAUUAAUCAAGAACGAAAGUUAGGGGAUCGAAGACGAUCAGAUACCGUCGUAGUCUUAACCAUAAACUAUGCCGACUAGGGAUCGGACGAUGUUAAUUUUUCUUGACUCGCGGCGCCUUACGGGAAAC